This 468-nucleotide ribosomal RNA is filed under the name uncultured bacterium. Its description in RNAcentral is "partial 16S ribosomal RNA". It matches the Rfam family "Bacterial small subunit ribosomal RNA", at positions 28 to 507 of the family's 1533-position model. The record is from RNAcentral.
GACGAACGCUGGCGGCGUGCUUAACACAUGCAAGUCGAACGGAAAGGCCCUGCUUUUGUGGGGUGCUCGAGUGGCGAACGGGUGAGUAACACGUGAGUAACCUGCCCUUGACUUUGGGAUAACUUCAGGAAACUGGGGCUAAUACCGGAUAGGAGCUCCUGCUGCAUGGUGGGGGUUGGAAAGUUUCGGCGGUUGGGGAUGGACUCGCGGCUUAUCAGCUUGUUGGUGGGGUAGUGGCUUACCAAGGCUUUGACGGGUAGCCGGCCUGAGAGGGUGACCGGCGACAUUGGGACUGAGAGACGGCCCAGACUCCUACGGGAGGCAGCAGUGGGGAGUAUUGCACAAUGGGCGGAAGCCUGAUGCAGCAACGCCGCGUGCGGGAUGACGGCCUUCGGGUUGUAAACCGCUUUCGCCUGUGACGAAGCGUGAGUGACGGUAAUGGGUAAAGAAGCACCGGCUAACUACGUG